Non-coding RNA from Ictidomys tridecemlineatus (thirteen-lined ground squirrel), 71 nucleotides. The record is from Rfam. Lineage: Eukaryota; Metazoa; Chordata; Mammalia; Rodentia; Sciuridae.
GGGUCCAUCUUCCAGUACAGUGUUGGAUGGUCUUUGUGAAGCUCCUAACACUGUCUGGUAAAGAUGGCCCC